RNAcentral lists this ribosomal RNA (40 nucleotides) under uncultured fungus. RNAcentral's name for it is "partial 28S ribosomal RNA". Lineage: Eukaryota; Fungi. The record is from RNAcentral.
AUUUGACCUCAAAUCGGGUGGGACUACCCGCUGAACUUAA